RNAcentral lists this ribosomal RNA (326 nucleotides) under uncultured eukaryote. RNAcentral describes it as "partial 18S ribosomal RNA". It matches the Rfam family "Eukaryotic small subunit ribosomal RNA", at positions 1470 to 1796 of the family's 1831-position model. The record is from RNAcentral.
CCCUUAGAUGUUCUGGGCUGCACGCGCGCUACACUGAUGCACUCAACGAGUUUACGACCUUGCCCGAUAGGGUUGGGUAAUCUUUUUAAAAUGCAUCGUGAUGGGGAUAGAUUAUUGCAAUUAUUAAUCUUCAACGAGGAAUUCCUAGUAAGCGCGAGUCAUCAGCUCGUGCUGAUUACGUCCCUGCCCUUUGUACACACCGCCCGUCGCUCCUACCGAUUGAGUGCUCAGGUGAAUAAUUCGGACUGCAGCAAUGUUUGGAUCCCGAACGUUGCAGCGGAAAGUUUAGUGAACCUUAUCACUUAGAGGAAGGAGAUGUCGUAACA